This 346-nucleotide transfer-messenger RNA is filed under the name Clostridia bacterium. It matches the Rfam family "transfer-messenger RNA". Rfam says of the family: Bacterial tmRNA, also known as 10Sa RNA or SsrA, is named for its dual tRNA and mRNA-like properties. Its role is to liberate the mRNA from a stalled ribosome. Lineage: Bacteria; Bacillati; Bacillota; Clostridia. RNAcentral also lists the same sequence under 1 other name. The record is from RNAcentral.
GGGGGCGUAAAUGGCUUUCGACGGGGAUCAGUGAGAGCUUAUAAGCGAGCCGUGGCUCCGGGCCACGUUAAAACCGGAAACUUAAAUAUUAAACGCAAACAAUAACGUAGCGUACGCUGCUUAACGCAGCCAUCGGCCCAAGCUGCCCACGGUUUGGAUAACCGGUGUCAAAAAGUGGGGUACCAGCAUGCCUAAGCUUUGCCGCAUGUGGGAUUUAUGAAGCUACUGAAAGCGGAAUGUUGUCAUUGACAGUCCGACAGAGGGAAUGUAAAAGCAAUGACUGCGCUCGGAGAAAGUAGGCAGGAUCGGUUUUCGGACAGGGGUUCGACUCCCCUCGUCUCCACCA